RNAcentral lists this ribosomal RNA (252 nucleotides) under uncultured bacterium. Its description in RNAcentral is "partial 16S ribosomal RNA". It matches the Rfam family "Bacterial small subunit ribosomal RNA", at positions 524 to 776 of the family's 1533-position model. The record is from RNAcentral.
UACGGAGGAUGCGAGCGUUAUCCGGAUUUAUUGGGUUUAAAGGGUGCGUAGGCGGACUGUCAAGUCAGCGGUAAAAUUGAGAGGCUCAACCUCUUCCCGCCGUUGAAAUUGGUGGUCUUGAGUGGAUGAGAAGUACGCGGAAUGCGUGGUGUAGCGGUGAAAUGCAUAGAUAUCACGCAGAACUCCGAUUGCGAAGGCAGCGUACCGGCAUCCAACUGACGCUGAGGCACGAAAGCGUGGGGAUCAAACAGG